This 253-nucleotide ribosomal RNA is filed under the name uncultured bacterium. Its description in RNAcentral is "partial 16S ribosomal RNA". It matches the Rfam family "Bacterial small subunit ribosomal RNA", at positions 524 to 776 of the family's 1533-position model. The record is from RNAcentral.
UACGAAGGGUGCAAGCGUUACUCGGAAUUACUGGGCGUAAAGGGUGCGUAGGUGGUUCUUUAAGUCUGCUGUGAAAGCUCCGGGCUCAACCUGGGAAUGGCAGUGGAUACUGGAGAGCUAGAGUGCGGUAGAGGGUAGUGGAAUUCCCGGUGUAGCAGUGAAAUGCGUAGAGAUCGGGAGGAACACCAGUGGCGAAGGCGGCUACCUGGACCAGCACUGACACUGAAGCACGAAAGCGUGGGGAGCAAACAGG